ACGAGCCUUGUAGCGACAUCUUGUGGUUUCUUGCGAUAUAACGUUGUUUUUAUAUUUUACCCGCAGGAAAUCACAGAUGGCGCUGCAGGGUUAUCGAUGGGCCCGAAUAUUUUUUGAUUAUUUUAUUUUCUUCUAAAUUAUUAUAUUAAAAUUAUCUGCAACAUUUAUUUUUGAUAUAUUAUAAUUAUAUUGUUUAAAUUUUGGGAUCAAACAAGUCGAUCGAUUGUUGUCGUUGAUUCGGCGAAUUUAUGGUUUGGUAGAUUUUUUCUAGUUUGGCAACUUUGUUCGUGGUUCUUGUGUCAGACUGACAGCUGGCUGAGCUGAGAGACAGGUUAUGGAAAGUGGGGACGUCGCGAGAGCGCCGGAGACUCCACUGCCGUAACAAUAAUGUGGGCAAAUUAAAAGCCACGAUUUAUCGGCGACAUCAAGAGCCGAUGUCUCGAUUUAAAUAAAUAGCUUAACCGAGAUGCAACAUCACUGAAAUCCCAUCGCCUAAGGUCCAGUGGGUGGGUUUAGGUUUCAUCCGAGCGAUGCCCAACUAUCCCGGAUGAACCUAUGGGGUUUUUGUUUUUUCUUUAAGUUUUUAACGUUUUGAAGUUUUAACGUUUUUGCAAGUUUUUAACGUCGAACGUUUUGCAAGUUUUAAUCUAAGAAGAAGUUUAUGAUUGGAUCAGACUAUUUCAACAAAUUUUGUGAAUGAAGAUUGCUACUGUUUUCUUCUGCGUUUGCAAGUUAUUUCAAGCUUCUUUACGGCGGAGCUUGCCUUGGUUGUUUGCACGUGGAAGCUUUUCUUUGUGCGGCGCGCAUGUGGAUGUGCCGCGCCUCUCCUUUUGUCAACACACCGGAUAAGGCCCGGUGAAGGCCCGGUGAGGUUGACCGGUGGACGUGCAGCCCGCCAGCUGCGUAACAGUUGGCCCGCUGCGCCGCCAUCGUCCAGCACGCCCUGGCCUGAGCCGGCCUCAACUCAUCACCUGAACGGUAUUCCGGGACGCCUCAGGUAGGCCUGAUAGUCACGAGGUCCUCGAGUAAGUGAGGUGCCUACAGGUGUACGGACAGUGUUUUUAAACAUAGUGAUAUCCCAUGGUUGUUACGGAGUGACAAUUAACCUGACGGACCAAAGCGCGACCUGUCUCCCUCCAUAGGGUUUUUGACCUACCUAUGGUUAAUGAAAUUUGUAGAUUUAAAAAAUAUACAUUGUACAAAUUCAA
RNAcentral lists this long non-coding RNA (1208 nucleotides) under Pectinophora gossypiella (pink bollworm). RNAcentral's name for it is "uncharacterized LOC126369457". The record is from RNAcentral. Lineage: Eukaryota; Metazoa; Arthropoda; Insecta; Lepidoptera; Gelechiidae.